This 28-nucleotide small RNA is filed under the name Bombyx mori (domestic silkworm). Its description in RNAcentral is "ovarian small RNA-30366". The record is from RNAcentral. Lineage: Eukaryota; Metazoa; Arthropoda; Insecta; Lepidoptera; Bombycidae.
UGAAAAUUUCGGGAAUUAACGAAGUGAC